CCCUUAGAUGUUCUGGGCCGCACGCGCGCUACACUGAUGCAUUCAACGAGCCUAUCCUUGACCGACAGGUCCGGGUAAUCUUUGAAUCUGCAUCGUGACGGGGAUAGAUUAUUGCAAUUAUUAAUCUUCAACGAGGAAUGCCUAGUAGGCGCAAGUCAUCAGCUUGCGUCGAUUACGUCCCUGCCCUUUGUACACACCGCCCGUCGCUCCUACCGAUUGGGUGUGCUGGUGAAAUGUUCGGAUUGAGACUUUGAUUUCUUCACGGAAAACGCUGUUUUAAAAAGUUGAUUAAACCUUACCAUUUAGAGGAAGGUGAAGUCGUAACA
This 326-nucleotide ribosomal RNA is filed under the name uncultured eukaryote. Its description in RNAcentral is "partial 18S ribosomal RNA". It matches the Rfam family "Eukaryotic small subunit ribosomal RNA", at positions 1470 to 1796 of the family's 1831-position model. The record is from RNAcentral.